Molecule: ribosomal RNA, 497 nt
Filed under: uncultured bacterium
Lineage: Bacteria
Description: partial 16S ribosomal RNA
Rfam family: Bacterial small subunit ribosomal RNA
Source: RNAcentral
GAUGAACGCUGGCGGCGUGCCUAAUACAUGCAAGUCGAGCGGACGGACGCGAAGCUUGCUUCUCUGAUGUUAGCGGCGGACGGGUGAGUAACACGUGGAUAACCUACCUAUAAGACUGGGAUAACUUCGGGAAACCGGAGCUAAUACCGGAUAAUAUUUUGAACCGCAUGGUUCAAAAGUGAAAGACGGUCUUGCUGUCACUUAUAGAUGGAUCCGCGCUGCAUUAGCUGGUUGGUAAGGUAACGGCUUACCAAGGCAACGAUGCAUAGCCGAACGGAGAGGGGGAUCGGCCACACUGGAACGGAGACACGGUCCAGACGCCUACGGGAGGCAGCAGUAGGGAAUCGUCCGCAAUGGGCGAAAGCCUGACGGAGCAACGCCGCGUGAGUGAUGAAGGUCUUCGGAUCGUAAAACUCUGUUAUUAGGGAAGAACAGAUGUGUAAGGAACUGUGCACAUCGUGACGGUACCUAAUCAGAAAGCCACGGCUAACUACGUG